The sequence is a non-coding RNA, 409 nucleotides long. It matches the Rfam family "Bacterial RNase P class A". Rfam says of the family: Ribonuclease P (RNase P) is a ubiquitous endoribonuclease, found in archaea, bacteria and eukarya as well as chloroplasts and mitochondria. The record is from Rfam.
GUGGAGGGCCGGGCGGCCGCUGCCGGCGGAGCGAUCCGCCGGGGGAGGAAAGUCCGGACUCGCCGAAGCGCCGGUGCCGGGUAACGCCCGGGCAGGGCAACCUGACGGAGAGCGCCACAGAAAACAGACCGCCCCGGACCUGGUCCGGGGUCAGGGUGAAACGGUGGAGUAAGAGCCCACCGGGGGGCUGGCAACAGCGCCCGCAUGGCAAGCCCCACCGGGAGCAAUGCCAAAUAGGGACCUCGCGCGGGCAUGAUCCUUUCGGGGAUAUCGCCGCAGGGCGGCUUCGGCCCGAGAGGUCCGGGUUGGCAGCACGAGCCCCCGGGCGACCGGGGGCCUAGAGGAAUGGUCGCCGAUGGACGGGGCAACCCGUCCGGAACAGAAUCCGGCUUACAGGCCCUCCACGCAU